GUGUUUAAAUUUGGUCACCCAAUUAUUAUUUAGAUAUCAAUAUCAAGGACAUUUAAAUCAUCUAAAUGCAUAUACGUAAACAAAGUCCAAACAACAAUACAUUCUUUAGGGACCUUCUUCAACUAAAAAUAGAGUCCAAAACACUCCAACUGAUGUUUAAACGAGUAGAGAAUCAUUUAGGGAUGAAAAUGAAAAAUUACAAAAAGGUGAUAGAAAUUGCAAAAUAAGACCACACGGCCAUGUGGGAGGGUCUGGAUUGUGUGAUAGGCCUACACGGCUGUGUGAAGGAGAGACAUGCCCGUGUGACUCGGUUAGAUGACCAUGUGGGUAGAUUGUGUAACUCAUUGUGCCUGUGUGACAAAAUUAACAUAAUUUUAGAAGCAAAGAAGAGACGGUCAUGUGACUGAAUGACACGCCCAUGUGACAGUGAUACAUGAUUGUGUGAUUGAGACACACGACCAUAUGCGAUCGACAAAAUCCCCAAAUAGAGGUUACACAACAGUGUGGCCAGCCCGUGUGACCUACCCCAGGUCGUUUGACAAGAAAAUUUACCUAAUUUCUAAUGUGGCACACGGCUGUGUAGUUCGUAAACCACCCCAAAAUUGGAUGAAUUUCGUGAAACACACCUAAAAGGUGAUUCUCACGCAAUAACAAUCAAUUGACGCACUUCAAUUCAACGAAUCUGAAAAACUCAAUUUUUACAACAAAAUAAACCUAUAAGAACUUCAAUUUAAACCGGAAUAAAGAAAUCAAAAACCAAUAUAAUACCCAACAAAACAACACUUACCCGAUUCGAUGCUUAACUAAUUGGAAAUUCAGAGAACAACCAAACCACAUUAUGCGAAAAUUAACAAUAACGUGGACCUUAAAAGGAAAAAAAUAAAUUGAAAAUUAAAAGAGGAAGAAAGAAAACAUCAAAGUCUGAAACCUUGGAAGAAAAGAAGAGAAACUGAUAUGGGAGGGAGGAAGAGAAAAUGAGCAAAAAAAUUUGGAAUUUCUUAACUUCUCUAAUUUUAAAAUUAAGAUAAAAUAAUUUAAUUAAUCUUUAACCAACCAAUUAGUUUUAUUAUUUUUUAAGGAAAUUGAAACAAAAAACAAACAAAAAUAAAAUAAAACCAUUCUCCCUUAGGGCCUACAAGGACUCAAACCAAAGAGCAAAGGAAAAUUGACGCUUAACCACUAAACCACUAAACUUAAUCUACUCUUAAAACGGAAAGAAAAACAUAAGAGUACUAACUUACUUACGAACCUAAACCCUUCUAACCCCAAUUUUGGGAUGUUACACAAAGUGACGAGCUUUGAUCAUAUUAUUCUUGAAUUGGAUUGUUCGGAGAUGGUUCACAUGCUUACCUCGAAUCAUGUUGACACCUUUGAAUUUGGUAUGUUAGUUUAUGAUUGUUGCUAUUUACUAUUGUUGUUUUAACAUCUUUCCUUCCUUUGGAUUCAAAGAAGUACUAAAAAGGCUGCUCAUUAUUUUGUCCGAGUGGUUUUAUCUCAAGUAUCUCCUCGCACUUAUGAGGCUAUUUCUCUUAGCUUGUUGUCGUUUCCCUCCAGAUAUUUCUAUGAUCUCUUGCGAGGUUAUACAAUAGAAAAUUAGUGUAUGGGUGAGCUUCUUAGGUCGAGAUCAGUUUUAUUGUCCUCCUCUUGUUUCUUUUCUUGUACGUAUUUUCCCGUUGCAAAUGCCCAAAUUAGACCGGGCCCAAUGAACUAACACCAGACCCAAACAAAAUAGACUCAACCCCAACAGCCCAAAAAAAAACUAGCCCACCUAGCCCAAAAACUAAAGCAAAAUAGAAACCCUAGCUAGCAUUAGGCGUCGUUCCCCUCUCUGUCGCCACCUGCUUUCCCACGUGCCUUGGCAGCACGUCCACCGCCCGAGGUGGCUCCCUUCUCACCAAAAUGGUCAGACCCCCGUCCCAUCGCCCGUACCACCUGCAAAAUGAAAAGAAACACGCAACAGACAACACAGAGCAGUGAUAGCAACUUGAAAUCGGAUAUAUAAGGUCGUAACAAAAGUUUGUAAAAAGGGGGGGAAAUCGAUUGUAUUUCAAGAGGGAUUUUCAAUAUUCAAAACAACUACAAUAUAUGAAAAUAAAGAUAGCAAAAAGAUUUAUAAAAAGGUAGAUCUUCGUGCUUUACAUACCAAAUAUAGUAUCUAUACAUAGAUAGUCGUAUAGAAACAUAAUAUUUUACCUUUUUUGGGCGAUCGGAAAGUUGGAAACUGAAUGGUUUUCCUGAUUUUUCUCAACGAUUGCGGGUCUUUUUGUUGCUUGGGGUUUAGAUUUGGAGUGAGGGGAGUGAAAGAGGCGAAAAGGGCUUCGUUUUGCACAUCCGACCGCCGCGCACGAUGGUCGUCUGCGACGAAUGGGCCGCGAUCCGAUGGCCAAAAAUCGCCUAGGCCGGAGAAGCCUCUCCCUCUCUCCCUCUUUUUUUCUAAAUGCACUGAUGAAAUGAGAAUGAGAAAAAAAAUUGAUUUUAUACAUAUAUGGAACGAAAAAAUUUGAUUUUAUACAUAUAUGGAAUGACGCCGUUCUGAGUUAAGUUCAAUAACUCAAAAAUGACGCCGUUUUAUGCUACGCCCGUGUGACCCGACCCAAACCAGCAAGAUCAGCGCGUUUUAAUCUAAUGGGAUAUUUCCCAUUUUGAUCCAUCCGUUUAUUUGAGCUUUUCGAUUAAAUCCUUUUCUUUCUUUUGUUUUGUUUUUAGUUUGACCACAAGAUUUUGCUUGUUUUUCGAUCGAGUCCCCCGACCCAUUGGUUCGCUGCGAGCGGACACGUGUCCAGAUAUUGGGCUUUUUGCUCGUUUAAUCCUCAGAUUUCUCGCGCUUUUUAUUUUAGUCCUAACUUGUGCGUUUUAUCAUAGUUUUACACGUGUAAUUUCAUUUUUAUUUCAAUUCAGGCCCAAAAAUGUUUGAUUUCAAUUCAUUUUGUAAGUUUAUUG
This 2940-nucleotide long non-coding RNA is filed under the name Gossypium barbadense (sea-island cotton). Its description in RNAcentral is "long non-coding RNA (GBAR_LNC002922)". The record is from RNAcentral. Lineage: Eukaryota; Viridiplantae; Streptophyta; Magnoliopsida; Malvales; Malvaceae.